GAUGAACGCUGGCGGCGUGCCUAAUACAUGCAAGUCGAGCGAACAGACGAGAGUGCUUGCACUCUCUGACGUUAGCGGCGGACGGGUGAGUAACACGUGGGUAACCUACCUAUAAGACUGGGAUAACUUCGGGAAACCGGAGCUAAUACCGGAUAAUAUUUAGCUUCGCAUGAAGCAAUAGUGAAAGACGGUUCUGCUGUCACUUAUAGAUGGACCCGCGGUGUAUUAGCUAGUUGGUGAGGUAACGGCUCACCAAGGCAACGAUACAUAGCCGACCUGAGAGGGUGAUCGGCCACACUGGAACUGAGACACGGCCCAGACUCCUACGGGAGGCAGCAGUAGGGAAUCUUCCGCAAUGGACGAAAGUCUGACGGAGCAAUGCCGCGUGAGUGAAGAAGGUUUUCGGAUCGUAAAACUCUGUUGUAAGGGAAGAACAAGUACGUUAGUAACUGAACGUACCUUGACGGUACCUUAACAGAAAGCCACGGCUAACUACGUG
RNAcentral lists this ribosomal RNA (499 nucleotides) under uncultured bacterium. RNAcentral describes it as "partial 16S ribosomal RNA". It matches the Rfam family "Bacterial small subunit ribosomal RNA", at positions 28 to 507 of the family's 1533-position model. The record is from RNAcentral.